AAACUAACUAGGAUGCGCUUAGUAACGGCGAGCGAACCGCGCAAAGCCCAACUUGAAAAUCUCCCUCGGAGAAUUGUAGUCUAUAGAAGUACCCUCUGCAACGGGCUGAGCUAAAGUCUCCUGGAAAGGGGCGUCAGAGAGGGUGAGAACCCCGUAAGCUGUUGCUUUGUUGCCUCACGAGGUGCUUUCGAAGAGUCGGGUUGCUUGGGAAUGCAGCCCAAAUUUGGUGGUAAAUCCCAUCUAAGGCUAAAUACUGGCGAGAGACCGAUAGCGAACAAGUACCGUGAGGGAAAGAUGAAAAGAACUUUGAAAAGAGAGUUAAAAAGUGCUUGAAAUUGUUGAGGGGGAAGCGUUUGAAUGCUCGGGUGCGCCUCAGGCUUAUGGGUUCUUAACGGAGCUCUGUAUGUGCUACGUGCUGGCCAGCAUGGGUUAGGCGAGUGGGACAAACGCUGGGGUUGAUACCAUGCCUAUGCCGCUUGCUUGACCAAGGCGUGAAGACUGCCCUUGUCCUUCGGGAACUGCAGUCUCAAGAUGCUGGCAAAAGGCUUUCAACCGACCCGUCUUGAAACACGGACCAAGGAGUCUAACAUGUAUGCGAAUUGGUGGGUGGAAAACCCAUGAAGCGUAAGGAAACUGACUGGUGAGAUGGCCUGUGCCUGCACCAUCGACCGACCAUGCGUUUCUGCAAAAGGUUUGAGUGCGAGCAUACCUGUUGGGACCCGAAAGAUGGUGAACUAUGCCUGAACAGGGUGAAGCCAGGUGAAAACCUGGUGGAGGCUCGUAGAUGUGCUGACGUGCAAAUCGCUU
This 807-nucleotide ribosomal RNA is filed under the name Tetradesmus obliquus. Its description in RNAcentral is "eukaryotic LSU rRNA". It matches the Rfam family "Eukaryotic large subunit ribosomal RNA", at positions 62 to 903 of the family's 3401-position model. Lineage: Eukaryota; Viridiplantae; Chlorophyta; Chlorophyceae; Sphaeropleales; Scenedesmaceae. The record is from RNAcentral.